This 445-nucleotide ribosomal RNA is filed under the name uncultured bacterium. RNAcentral describes it as "partial 16S ribosomal RNA". It matches the Rfam family "Bacterial small subunit ribosomal RNA", at positions 354 to 796 of the family's 1533-position model. The record is from RNAcentral.
GUGAGGAAUAUUGCGCAAUGGAGGCAACUCUGACGCAGCCAUGCCGCGUGCAGGAAGAAGGCGCUACGCGUUGUAAACUGCUUUUAACCGGGAAGAAACCCCAGGACGUGUCCUGGGUUGACGGUACCGGAGGAAUAAGCACCGGCUAACUUCGUGCCAGCAGCCGCGGUAAUACGAAGGGUGCAAGCGUUAUCAGGAGUCAUUGGGUUUAAAGGGUGCGUAGGCGGAGCGUUAAGUCAGUGGUUAAAUCCUGCAGCUUAACUGGAUACUUGCCAUUGAUACUGGCGCUCUUGAGUGCGCUUGAAGUGGGCGGAAUGUGCCGUGUAGCGGUGAAAUGCUUAGAUAUGGCACAGAACACCAAUUGCGAAGGCAGCUCACUAAGGCGAUACUGACGCUGAGGCACGAAAGCGUGGGGAUCGAACAGGAUUAGAUACCCCGGUAGUCC